Molecule: ribosomal RNA, 382 nt
Filed under: uncultured eukaryote
Lineage: Eukaryota
Description: partial 18S ribosomal RNA
Rfam family: Eukaryotic small subunit ribosomal RNA
Source: RNAcentral
UGUAAGCGUAUACCAAAGUUGUUGCAGUUAAAACGCUCGUAGUCGGAAUUUGGCAGUUCCGGAUGUGUGCACGUCGUGUGCGCACUUCGCGGGGAUUGCUUUUGUGGUCUUGCGUAGGAUGAGGCACUUUUAUUAGUGAACGUCCUCACGCAACCACUUUUUACUGUGAGAAAAUCAGAGUGCUCAAAGCAGGCAUUUGCCGUGAAUGUAUUAGCAUGGAAUAAUAGAAUAGGACUUGGUUCUAUUUUGUUGGUUUGUUGGGACUGAGUAAUGAUUAAGAGGGACAGUUGGGGGCAUUUGUAUUUCGGUGCUAGAGGUGAAAUUCUGAGAUUACCGAAAGACAAACUGCUGCGAAAGCGUCUGCCAAGGAUGUUUUCAUUGA